This 1443-nucleotide ribosomal RNA is filed under the name Vibrio parahaemolyticus. Its description in RNAcentral is "bacterial LSU rRNA". It matches the Rfam family "Bacterial large subunit ribosomal RNA", at positions 893 to 2320 of the family's 2925-position model. Lineage: Bacteria; Pseudomonadati; Pseudomonadota; Gammaproteobacteria; Vibrionales; Vibrionaceae. The record is from RNAcentral.
CUACUGGGGGUAGAGCACUGUUAAGGCUAGGGGGUCAUCCCGACUUACCAACCCUUUGCAAACUCCGAAUACCAGUAAGUACUAUCCGGGAGACACACGGCGGGUGCUAACGUCCGUCGUGGAGAGGGAAACAACCCAGACCGCCAGCUAAGGUCCCAAAUUACUACUAAGUGGGAAACGAUGUGGGAAGGCUCAGACAGCCAGGAUGUUGGCUUAGAAGCAGCCAUCAUUUAAAGAAAGCGUAAUAGCUCACUGGUCGAGUCGGCCUGCGCGGAAGAUGUAACGGGGCUAAGUAGUAAACCGAAGCUGCGGCAAUAUACUUUUGUAUAUUGGGUAGGGGAGCGUUCUGUAAGCGGUUGAAGGUGUGUGGUAACGCAUGCUGGACGUAUCAGAAGUGCGAAUGCUGACAUGAGUAACGAUAAAGGGGGUGAAAAACCUCCUCGCCGGAAGACCAAGGGUUCCUGUCCAACGUUAAUCGGGGCAGGGUAAGUCGACCCCUAAGGCGAGGCCGAAAGGCGUAGUCGAUGGGAAACGGGUUAAUAUUCCCGUACUUCUUACAAUUGCGAUGGGGGGACGGAGAAGGCUAGGUGGGCCUGGCGACGGUUGUCCAGGUUCAAGUGCGUAGGCUUAAGAGUUAGGUAAAUCCGGCUCUUUUUAAGGCUGAGACACGACGUCGAGCACCUACGGGUGUGAAGUCAUUGAUGCCAUGCUUCCAGGAAAAGCCUCUAAGCUUCAGAUUGUAAGGAAUCGUACCCCAAACCGACACAGGUGGUCGGGUAGAGAAUACCAAGGCGCUUGAGAGAACUCGGGUGAAGGAACUAGGCAAAAUGGUACCGUAACUUCGGGAGAAGGUACGCUCUCGACGGUGAAGUCCCUCGCGGAUGGAGCUAUUGAGAGUCGCAGAUACCAGGUGGCUGCAACUGUUUAUUAAAAACACAGCACUGUGCAAAAUCGUAAGAUGACGUAUACGGUGUGACGCCUGCCCGGUGCCGGAAGGUUAAUUGAUGGGGUUAGACUUCGGUCGAAGCUCUUGAUCGAAGCCCCGGUAAACGGCGGCCGUAACUAUAACGGUCCUAAGGUAGCGAAAUUCCUUGUCGGGUAAGUUCCGACCUGCACGAAUGGCGUAAUGAUGGCCACGCUGUCUCCACCCGAGACUCAGUGAAAUUGAAAUCGCUGUGAAGAUGCAGUGUACCCGCGGCUAGACGGAAAGACCCCGUGAACCUUUACUACAGCUUGGCACUGAACAUUGACCCUACAUGUGUAGGAUAGGUGGGAGGCUUUGAAGCACGUACGCCAGUAUGUGUGGAGCCGUCCUUGAAAUACCACCCUUGUAGUGUUGAUGUUCUAACGUCGACCCCUUAUCGGGGUUGCGGACAGUGCCUGGUGGGUAGUUUGACUGGGGCGGUCUCCUCCCAAAGAGUAACGGAGGAGCACGAAGGUGGG